Molecule: ribosomal RNA, 253 nt
Filed under: uncultured bacterium
Lineage: Bacteria
Description: partial 16S ribosomal RNA
Rfam family: Bacterial small subunit ribosomal RNA
Source: RNAcentral
UACGAAGGGGGCUAGCGUUGCUCGGAAUCACUGGGCGUAAAGCGCACGUAGGCGGAUUGCUAAGUCAGGGGUGAAAUCCUGGAGCUCAACUCCAGAACUGCCCUUGAUACUGGCGGUCUCGAGUCCGGGAGAGGUGAGUGGAACUGCGAGUGUAGAGGUGAAAUUCGUAGAUAUUCGCAAGAACACCAGUGGCGAAGGCGGCUCACUGGCCCGAUACUGACGCUGAGGCACGAAAGCCAGGGGAGCAAACGGG